GGGCAAUUUGCCUGUGACAUCUGUUACCCCACUGAUUGCCAGGGUUGAUUCAGCUGGCUGGCUCCGUGUGUGUCCCCUCCUGAAGCUCACACUCAGCUGAAGAGGGCCACCAUCCCCAAUAGAGGAGGACCAGUCUCAGUCAAGCGUAUAUGAAUAGCUAAGCUUCUCUGAUAGAAUCUCCAAACAAGCUCUCAAUAAAGUAGAGUGUCAUUACAGAGCAAUUUCAUCUGGUCUAGUUUUUAGUACUCUUCCUGGAUUACU
This 261-nucleotide small nuclear RNA is filed under the name Chlorocebus sabaeus (green monkey). Its description in RNAcentral is "7SK RNA". It matches the Rfam family "7SK RNA". Rfam says of the family: 7SK was discovered as an abundant small nuclear RNA in the mid-70s but a possible function has only recently been suggested. Two independent studies have found that 7SK RNA binds the CDK9/cyclin T complex (known as elongation factor P-TEFb). The record is from Rfam by way of RNAcentral. Lineage: Eukaryota; Metazoa; Chordata; Mammalia; Primates; Cercopithecidae.